This 72-nucleotide transfer RNA is filed under the name Ipomoea nil (Japanese morning glory). It matches the Rfam family "tRNA". Rfam says of the family: Transfer RNA (tRNA) molecules are approximately 80 nucleotides in length. Their secondary structure includes four short double-helical elements and three loops (D, anti-codon, and T loops). The record is from Rfam by way of RNAcentral. Lineage: Eukaryota; Viridiplantae; Streptophyta; Magnoliopsida; Solanales; Convolvulaceae.
GGGUUCAUAGCUCAGUGGUAGAGUAUUUAACUGUAGAUCAAGAUGUCACUAGUUUGAACCUGGUUGAGCCUG